Pollicipes pollicipes is the source of this 231-nucleotide long non-coding RNA. RefSeq lists it as uncharacterized. The transcript is spliced from 3 exons. Lineage: Eukaryota; Metazoa; Arthropoda; Thecostraca; Pollicipedomorpha; Pollicipedidae. The record is from RefSeq and is a predicted model, not a curated record.
UCCGGUUCUGGGAGUUUGGCGGGAGUCGGCGUCGGCGUGGUCGUCGGAUCGGGCCGCCGCCGUGUUUUGUCUUGGAUCUCUCUUUGUUUCAACUACAUAACCUCUUUAGUCUUCUUUGUAUCUUCCGUCAACCAUUCAGAAACUACCAAACAUGGAUGAUGAUUGGGAUGCACCACCAUCAAAGCCGCUGCACUCGGGCGGCGGCGGGUUCGGCGGCGGCGGCGGCACCAC